UGGUGGGCACAGGACCCCAGCUUGGGGAAAGGGAGGUUGAGACAGCCCAGCGGUGACCUGGCUGAUGUGAGAGCAGGGCUGUGUUCAGCAGAAAAGGCAGCUGGAUGCACAGCACAUUGCAAAGGGCACGGAGAAGGCUCCGCUCAAAAACAAACAAGUGGCAAAACACUCCUGCAUCCCCAAUUCCCUAAUGCCAAAUCCAACAUUUGUGGGGCUCCUGCCUUUGCCUGGUCAGUAUGCAAGCACUUGUGGGAUGGACCCAGCAUUGGUGCCAGGGCUUCAAUCAUCAUGGAGUAUUAAUGCCAGCUGUUCCUAUGUGCCCUGCCUCCAGGAAGGUGAGCUGUGCCGGACCAACAGCAGAAGCUUCAGGGGAGAGCCUUCUCAGUUUGAACACUUGGGAGAGGAGGAAGGGAGCAUUUCAACUGCAGAUGAAUCAUGAUCCAGAGAUGGGAGAAGCCAAGAGCUUACAGGUGCACACACUCAGGCACAAUGGCAGCCGAACACACACAAGGCAUAAGGAUACACUCAAGAAAUGUACAGAAUCCACAGGAGUAAGACAGAAAAGCUUUACCAAAGGACAUGAAGGAAGCCGGGAAUGAACAGAGCACAUAUCAUGAGACAGGUCCAACCAACUGCCUCCCCAAAACCCCUUCUCCCUUCCUUGCCUACACACGAGGCCUGAUUUAAUCCUAGAAGGCUUCAAAUAGGGAGGUGACACUCAGGGCCCAUCCUACCUUCCACGGGGCUGCAGAGGCUGGAAAGCAAAGCCCUACACUUCCAAGACUCAUUUGCAGCUGGAGGGUUCUAUGGGAUCAGGGUCGUGUCAUUGGAUGCAUUCAUCUGUGAUUUGGAAGGCGGUGGACGGAGAGCCAGACUUCUCACCGAUUCUGCUGUUCUCUGGCUUCUCUCCAGUGACCAGUGACCUGCUAUAUGGUCACCACACUCCACUUCUUCCUCCUCCUGGACACACAGCUCGACUGUUUCCAGCCCUUCUUCCAACUAGGUGAGGACAUGUGCUGGAGUCCCAGCCGUGGAACGUAGGCAGAAGCAAGGCCCCUCCCUGUUAGCCCUGCCUGUAAACAUUUCCCACAGAAUCCUCCAUGCUCUCUCUCCCCAUCCACCUGCUGGAUGAACAGGACUCGGGCUUGGAGGAGGAGGAGCCACAAGACAGAAGGGCCUGGGUCCCUGAAUGACCAAGUGGAGCAGAGCCCCGUGCCAACCCACACUAGACUACGACAUGAGCAAGAAGUCAACUCUCAACGCUCGUGGUGAUCCACACUGACACCAGGCAG
Long non-coding RNA from Homo sapiens (human), 1292 nucleotides. The record is from Ensembl. NCBI's taxonomy places the organism in Eukaryota, Metazoa, Chordata, Mammalia, Primates, Hominidae.